Molecule: long non-coding RNA, 1285 nt
Organism: Brassica napus (rape)
Lineage: Eukaryota; Viridiplantae; Streptophyta; Magnoliopsida; Brassicales; Brassicaceae
Exons: 2
Source: RefSeq, a predicted model, not a curated record
ACUUCCUUUUUUUUGAAAAAUACCAUUUGAGCUUUUACUUUUAGUUAUUCGACUAACUUUUUUAGUUGGUUUGAAGGUAAUGGACCGCUAACGUUUUUGCAAAAUGUUCCUUUGUUGAUGAGUUUAUUUGUUUUUUUUUUUGUAUACCAGUCAUAGAGCCGGCCUAGAUUAAUACACAUGAAAGAAUGGUUUUGGACAACAACUUUUGUAAAUAAUUGAGAGUACAAUUGCAAAAGAAAAUCUUUUUUAAUACAAUGGUUUGAAAGAUUCUAUUUGUCUCGUAUAGAAUAAGUUCGAUUAUUAUUAAAAAAAAUAACAAAUUUAAAUAUCUUUUAGCCUAUUAGGUGUUAAAACUUAAAAGUAUAUGGGGAUGGCAUUGCUAGGCAAGUGGUCUCACGGCGAAGUCAUCCAUUUUCGUCCCCCUUUUUUGUUUCGAACUUUGGUCUAUUUAAAUUAUUUCAAAUAUUAAAUAGUAUGUAUAUCCAAAACAAAGGUAAAAAAAAAUUAGUCAAGCCAUCGAGAGAGAAAAGAAGAACAAAACUCCAGGUCAUCCGAUCUCCCUCCAUGGUUGGAGGUGCUCUUCACCGCCGCUACGUGAGGAAGGAUCUCUUUUUUCUCUUUAGUUUAAUCUAAGUUUUGUAUGGUUUAUGAUAGUUUAAGUGAGGAUAUUUUUCUCGUUAGUUCAUAUCUCUCACCGGUUUUGACGAUCAGGAUCUAUAGAAUCAUCGUUGUUCGAGGGCUGCUUUAAAUUUGGGUUGUGGUGCUUCUGUUUCUUUUCGGUUGCUUGCAGUUAUGGUUAAUUCUUUUUCGCUUUGUUCUAGCUUUUUGGAUUCGUCGGUGUGAGGUGUAUUUGCUGUGGAGGUUUUCUCUUGCGAGGAAGUGACCAAUUUUAGCUCUGUAGAUCGCUAUUCUGCCUAACGAGUGUCCGCGUGUAAGAUCUGUAAAUCUUCGCCGGUGUUUUUCCCUUUAGCAUUUCAAGUUCUUGUGUCUUUGAGCCUAGGUGUUUGGUUUUGACUUGGUUCUGCCUCGACUCCGGUUUGCAACAGUCUCUGGUGUUGAUGCAAGCUUAUAUUCGCACAUGUUUAUCCCGAUGUUGCGCCUGUUUUGGCUUGUGGUAUACCCUUCAGGAUUGGGUUUGCCUAGGUCAUUGGUUAUUUGGUUAUAUUCGGUCUCAGUUUGUCACGAGUGUCUGCGAGUUAUGAUCUGUCCAUCAGUUCCAGCUUUAGUACAUGUAGCUUUCUAAUGUUUAUUUCUCGUAUUAUACUACCUCGUUGUUAUUGUCUUC